ACCACAACGGGUGGAGCCUGCGGUUUAAUUGGACUCAACGCCGGGCAGCUCACCGGAUAAGACAGCUGGAUGAUAGCCGGGCUGAAGACUCUGCUUGACUAGCUGAGAGGAGGUGCAUGGCCGUCGUCAGUUCGUACUGUGAAGCAUCCUGUUAAGUCAGGCAACGAGCGAGACCCACGCCAACAGUUGCCAGCAUGUCCUCCGGGAUGAUGGGGACACUGUUGGGACCGCCUCUGCUAAAGAGGAGGAAGGAAUGGGCAACGGUAGGUCAGCAUGCCCCGAAUUAUCCGGGCUACACGCGGGCUACAAUGGUCAGGACAAUGGGUAUCGACACCGAGAGGUAGAGGCAAUCUCCUAAACCUGUCCUUAGUUCGGAUUGUGGGCUGCAACUCGCCCACAUGAAGCUGGAAUCCGUAGUAAUCGCGUUUCAAAAUAGCGCGGUGAAUAUGUCCCUGCUCCUU
This 461-nucleotide ribosomal RNA is filed under the name uncultured Methanolinea sp. RNAcentral's name for it is "bacterial SSU rRNA". It matches the Rfam family "Archaeal small subunit ribosomal RNA", at positions 878 to 1338 of the family's 1478-position model. The record is from RNAcentral. Lineage: Archaea; Methanobacteriati; Methanobacteriota; Methanomicrobia; Methanomicrobiales; Methanoregulaceae.